Molecule: small RNA, 91 nt
Filed under: Arabidopsis thaliana (thale cress)
Lineage: Eukaryota; Viridiplantae; Streptophyta; Magnoliopsida; Brassicales; Brassicaceae
Description: ATSL008050
Source: RNAcentral
CCAUCAGAGAUGGACUCAGGAUUAGGUGUAUGUAUGGUAUGGGCGGAGUAGGAAAAAUCUUACUCAAAUCUUGCGCAUCUCAACACUUGCA